CAUCUUGGAGUUGGUGAUGUAUCGCCCCUCAGCCUCCUCGACGAUCAUGUGAACUUUGAGCAAGAGAUUCUGCAGCCUUUCCAUCUUUGUUUCAAGAUUUUGUUGGCUCCCACACUUCUUCAUCAAGAAGGAUAUGAAUCGGUUUUUGUUCUUUCAGUACUCAUCCACAUACAGACAUAUUCUGUGACAAGUGACCUUCCCAAGUGCAGCACUGCUUUCAGAUCUGCUACUAAAAGUGAAGGAGAUGGCAGCCUAUUGGCUCAUGAGCAGUAG
RNAcentral lists this long non-coding RNA (273 nucleotides) under Oryza sativa Indica Group (long-grained rice). RNAcentral describes it as "lncRNA OsIR64_10g0001850". Lineage: Eukaryota; Viridiplantae; Streptophyta; Magnoliopsida; Poales; Poaceae. The record is from RNAcentral.